UACGUAGGGUGCGAGCGUUAAUCGGAAUUACUGGGCGUAAAGCGUGCGCAGGCGGUUCGCUGUGUCCGAUGUGAAAGCCCCGGGCUUAACCUGGGAAUGGCAUUGGAAACUGGCGGGCUUGAGUGCGGCAGAGGGGGGUGGAAUUCCGCGUGUAGCAGUGAAAUGCGUAGAGAUGCGGAGGAACACCGAUGGCGAAGGCAGCCCCCUGGGUCGACACUGACGCUCAGGCACGAAAGCGUGGGGAGCAAACAGG
Molecule: ribosomal RNA, 253 nt
Filed under: uncultured bacterium
Lineage: Bacteria
Description: partial 16S ribosomal RNA
Rfam family: Bacterial small subunit ribosomal RNA
Source: RNAcentral